UUGCGGAAUUUUGAGGUAAGCGAAAUUAUAUAUAUAUAUAUAUAUAUAUAUAUAUAUAUAUAUAUAUAUAUAUAUAUAUAUAUAUAUAUAUUUCGCUUACCUCAAGAUUCCGCAACAGUCUGUUUCAUCAAUAAAGAAUCAUCAGGCGGUACCGCGGAUACCGCCUGACGAUUCUUUAUUGAUGAAACAGACUG
Molecule: non-coding RNA, 194 nt
Organism: Paramuricea clavata
Lineage: Eukaryota; Metazoa; Cnidaria; Anthozoa; Malacalcyonacea; Plexauridae
Source: the annotation of a GenBank genome assembly